GACGAACGCUGGCGGCGUGCCUAAUACAUGCAAGUAGAACGCACAGUUUAUACCGUAGCUUGCUACACCAUAGACUGUGAGUUGCGAACGGGUGAGUAACGCGUAGGUAACCUGCCUGGUAGCGGGGGAUAACUAUUGGAAACGAUAGCUAAUACCGCAUAAUAUUGAUUAUUGCAUGAUAAUUGAUUGAAAGAUGCUAUUGCAUCACUACCAGAUGGACCUGCGUUGUAUUAGCUAGUAGGUGAGGUAACGGCUCACCUAGGCGACGAUACAUAGCCGACCUGAGAGGGGGAUCGGCCACACUGGGACUGAGACACGGCCCAGACUCCUACGGGAGGCAGCAGUAGGGAAUCUUCGGCAAUGGACGAAAGUCUGACCGAGCAACGCCGCGUGAGUGAAGAAGGUUUUCGGAUCGUAAAGCUCUGUUGUAAGAGAAGAACGGGUGUGAGAGUGGAAAGUUCACACUGUGACGGUAUCUUACCAGAAAGGGACGGCUAACUACGUG
Molecule: ribosomal RNA, 505 nt
Filed under: uncultured bacterium
Lineage: Bacteria
Description: partial 16S ribosomal RNA
Rfam family: Bacterial small subunit ribosomal RNA
Source: RNAcentral